Molecule: ribosomal RNA, 463 nt
Filed under: uncultured bacterium
Lineage: Bacteria
Description: partial 16S ribosomal RNA
Rfam family: Bacterial small subunit ribosomal RNA
Source: RNAcentral
GAUGAACGCUGACAGAAUGCUUAACACAUGCGAGUCUUUGGCGAAGCUGUGCUCGCACAGCCUAGCCAAGGCGGACGGGUGAGUAACGCGUAAGGAACUUGCCCUGCAGUCAGGGAUAACAGACGGAAACGACUGAUAAGACCUGGUAAAGUCAGGCGGACUCAUGUCCAGCCUGAUGAAAAGAGAUGCUGCAGGAGAGCCUUGCGUCCUAUUAGCUUGUUGGUGGGGUAACGGCCCACCAAGGCGAUGAUAGGUAGCCGGCCUGAGAGGGUGGACGGCCACAAGGGGACUGAGAUACGGCCCUUACUCCUACGGGAGGCAGCAGUGGGGAAUAUUGGACAAUGGGGGCAACCCUGAUCCAGCAAUUCUGUGUGCACGAUGAAGGUUUUCGGAUUGUAAAGUGCUUUCAGCAGGGAAGAAAAAAAUGACGGUACCUGCAGAAGAAGCGACGGCUAAAUACGUG